This 1752-nucleotide long non-coding RNA is filed under the name Calidris pugnax (ruff). RNAcentral's name for it is "lncRNA (ENSCPUG00000014808.1)". Lineage: Eukaryota; Metazoa; Chordata; Aves; Charadriiformes; Scolopacidae. The record is from RNAcentral.
AUGGUUAAAAGAAGUUUACUAGGCAGAGUAUUUACCCUUUGUUUGGUAUAUGUCCCUAAUAUUAAGCAAGACACCUUCCUUGAUGGUUUUAUUUUUGUCUUGCUGCCUUCUGAAAAUCUCACUACUGAGGGAGAUUUAAACCUUACCUUAAAUUUUCCAGUUGAUAUUUCAGAUACUAGAAGUCAGGAAUUUUAUUCAUCAGGUCCAUUCCUGACACAAAAUAGUAUCCAGCCAGGUGUCUCGGCUGAAAAAGUGCUGCUCUCUCUAAAAAUUUAUUUGUUUUAUGCCCAUUUGUUGAUCACACCAGUAUAUUAUUUAUCAUUUUCUGGUUCCUCACAGGAUUCUCUUCCUCAAACAAAUAGAGGCCAAAUGACAUGGUCUGUCUCUCUUUCUGCCUUGACAACACAACCAGACUGUCUUGUUAGUCAGAGGCAUAGAAAACGUGAACUGAACAAUUUUCUUUUCAACUCAUUUCUAGCACUGGAGGUUGAAACCAGCAAAAAUCAGAUAUGUUUCCAUCACGGCACAUUACCUAGCAGCUCUUCAUAUGGGAUUUAUAAGGUUGUACUGAAGAGAAAAUUAAUUGAGAAAAGUUCAGGAAUUGAAAGGGGAGAAAAUGCAGCACGCAGAUUUCUUAUCUCUGAAAUAAAAUAUUUUGAGGUGUAUAAAAAUGUAGGUGCAAAGAAAAUGUUGAAUAAGCUUCUAUUCCUAGGAUGUCUACUACAUGCUCUAGUGUUAGAAAAAAUAGCAUGUAUUUUACAUCAGUGUAGAAAAAUUUCCAGCAAGAUAGAGAAGAAAAGGCAUGCUGUUACAAUGUAUAAGGUAAGAAGUCAAAGAGAAAAACAUAUUAUAAUAGCUACUAGGAAACAAACCAGAAAAAUGCAUUACCUUCUGAGGACUCACAUCAGAGAAGUUACAGUUGAAGUUAACACUCAGCAUCUGAAGGGAGAAUCUGAGGCCACCAAAUCAAGUAGAGGAUCUGAUCCAGAGAAGCUCUCGAUCAAGUUAUAUGAAGCACUAAAAGAUCACCUUCUCCUCACAUUAACUGACUUUUUAUGUUAUUUUCUGGACUUCAAACCUUUAGCAGAUACUCUGAAGGAAGCUGGUAAUAUUGUUUUAAAGGCUAGGAAAGAGAAAGGUGAUUUUUCAUCAGAUAGGGACAUGCCCCUGUUAGAUACAGAGUGUAGGACACUCGUAGCAGUACUGGCAGCUGCAUUAGAAUCAGCAUUACCUAAAGUACUUGUCAUAGCCUCAGUGAAAAUUGGUCAGAGACAACUGCUUUUAGAUAACUGCCAGAUAUUAAUCACGAGACAUUCAGACUUAACGUUAAAGUUUGGUAUACUAUUUUCAUUGAGAAAGGAAAUAUUAAUAGAUGUAAGAAAUAAAUGGACUGAAGUAGUACUCUGUAAACCCUUAGAACCCUCCCAGCUUUCUAGACAGACAGGGAAUUGUAAUUCACUGUUACCAAUCUUGUUUGCAUUAUUAAGGAAACAAUUUGUACAAAAAGUGAGGAUGAAUAAACUAGAACCACGUUUAAAUGCAAACAAGUUGAUUUAUGAAACAAUGUUAUCUUUGAAGGAAAUCCCAUUAGCAAUUCAGAGUGCUUCAAACCCACUGCAUUUGAGAACAUUUCGGCUUCUAAAAUUAAUUAUUUCAGUUCACAAGCUUUGUGAAUUUCAUGUUCAGGUCAAAAUGAGAUCAGGCUACAAAUUCAUUUUAAGGUGGUCAAACGCCACAGAAAGUACCGGGUAG